GCCAGGCGUGGUGGUGCACACCUGUAAUCCCAGCUACUUGGGAGGCUGAGACAGGAGAAUCUCUUGAACCCAGGAGGCAGAGGUUGUAGUGAGCUGAGAUCACGCCACUGCACUCCAGCCUGGGUGACAGAGUGAGACUCUGUCUCAA
Pongo abelii (Sumatran orangutan) is the source of this 148-nucleotide unclassified non-coding RNA. It matches the Rfam family "Metazoan signal recognition particle RNA". Rfam says of the family: The signal recognition particle (SRP) is a universally conserved ribonucleoprotein. NCBI's taxonomy places the organism in Eukaryota, Metazoa, Chordata, Mammalia, Primates, Hominidae. The record is from Ensembl.